UCACUCGUGCAUCACCAAGAAUACCACAUUCAAGUCCACCAUUGAUUAUGUACAAAAUUAUACACUAAUCGAACACUGUUGGACUUCUUGUUGAAACUUUGAAGCAUAGAAAAUACUUCUAUGACUAAAGACCUUUGUGGCAAUAAGGAUAGAAAACUUAUUUGGUGCUUUUGUGGUUUUGAAUUCAAUAAAAUAAAAGAGAAGAUUUUAGUAUAGAGAUAAUAUUUCUUUUAGAGCAAACUAUGAGCUCAUUAUCGCUAUCCAAUAUAUCUGAAUGUUUGAAGAA
Non-coding RNA from Cajanus cajan (pigeon pea), 286 nucleotides. Lineage: Eukaryota; Viridiplantae; Streptophyta; Magnoliopsida; Fabales; Fabaceae. The record is from RefSeq and is a predicted model, not a curated record.